UAAUGAUACAAUUAAAUGGGGUUUAAUAAAUGUUGACUAAGUGGCUACUAAAAAAGACUGAACAUACCCCAUUUGCAAUACCCUGGGUUGUCUACUAUUGCAAAUGGUAUGCCAUCAUGGGGGUAAUUUUCAUUCCUGGGCUACUGUACGGUCUCAAAGGCAACAUAACCAACCUGGUGAAUUUUAAUGUGAAAAAACUGAAACGCAAGCCUUAUAUUUAACUCUGUAACUUUUGAAAACACCAUUAAACCUGUACACGAGGGAACUGUUAUACUCGGGAGACUUCGCUGAACACAAAUAUUAGUGUUUCAAAACAGUAAAAUGUAUCACAACAAUUAUAUCGUCAGUGUAAGUGCCAUUUGUGGGUGAAAAAUUCAAAAAAUGUCACUGACGAUAUAGUCGUCGU
Non-coding RNA from Pelobates cultripes (western spadefoot toad), 406 nucleotides. The record is from the annotation of a GenBank genome assembly. NCBI's taxonomy places the organism in Eukaryota, Metazoa, Chordata, Amphibia, Anura, Pelobatidae.